RNAcentral lists this ribosomal RNA (254 nucleotides) under uncultured bacterium. Its description in RNAcentral is "partial 16S ribosomal RNA". It matches the Rfam family "Bacterial small subunit ribosomal RNA", at positions 524 to 776 of the family's 1533-position model. The record is from RNAcentral.
UACGUAGGGGGCAAGCGUUGUCCGGAUUUAUUGGGCGUAAAGAGCGUGUAGGCGGUUUGGUAGGUCCGCUGUGAAAACUCGAGGCUCAACCUCGAGACGCCGGUGGAAACCAUCAGACUAGAGUCCGGAAGAGGAGAGUGGAAUUCCUGGUGUAGCGGUGAAAUGACGCAGAUAUCAGGAGGAACACCGGUGGCGAAGGCGGGUCUCUGGGCCGAUACUGACGCUGAGGAGCGAAAGCGUGGGGAGCGAACAGG